ACUAUUCACGAAUACGACACUAUUCAUCGAAAAAUGAAAUUUUUCCUUUUCGUCCAAAAUAUCUAUUAUGGAUACUAGCUUUGAUUGUAUCCAUGUUUUGAUCAUUCUUCAAUUUUACUUCACUAUGAUUAUUUAUGAGGUAUUUUUGGACAUGAAAUAGCUGAAAUAUGAAUCCUUGAUAUUUAUUCUUUUGUUUCACUGGAUUC
Molecule: long non-coding RNA, 206 nt
Filed under: Panax ginseng (ginseng)
Lineage: Eukaryota; Viridiplantae; Streptophyta; Magnoliopsida; Apiales; Araliaceae
Description: long non-coding RNA (PGIN_LNC004555)
Source: RNAcentral